Molecule: ribosomal RNA, 468 nt
Filed under: uncultured bacterium
Lineage: Bacteria
Description: partial 16S ribosomal RNA
Rfam family: Bacterial small subunit ribosomal RNA
Source: RNAcentral
GACGAACGCUGGCGGCGUGCUUAACACAUGCAAGUCGAACGGAAAGGCCCUGCUUUUGUGGGGUGCUCGAGUGGCGAACGGGUGAGUAACACGUGAGUAACCUGCCCUUGACUUUGGGAUAACUUCAGGAAACUGGGGCUAAUACCGGAUAGGAGCUCCUGCUGCAUGGUGGGGGUUGGAAAGUUUCGGCGGUUGGGGAUGGACUCGCGGCUUAUCAGCUUGUUGGUGGGGUAGUGGCUUACCAAGGCUUUGACGGGUAGCCGGCCUGGGAGGGUGACCGGCCACAUUGGGACUGAGAUACGGCCCAGACUCCUACGGGAGGCAGCGGUGGGGAAUAUUGCACAAUGGGCUGAAGCCUGAUGCAGCAACGCCGCGUGCGGGAUGACGGCCUUCGGGUUGUAAACCGCUUUCGCCUGUGACGAAGCGUGAGUGACGGUAAUGGGUAAAGAAGCACCGGCUAACUACGUG